UGGGGUCCCCCCCCCCGUCACACCUGGGGGGGGUCGCUGGGUCCUCCUGUGGGGGGAGAGAGAGAAAAAGGGGCUGGAGACCCCCAAAAUCCCAAAUCCCCCCAAAAAUCCCAAACCCCCAGGUGAGUCUGGGGCUCCCCAGGUGAGUUUUGAGGUCCCCAGGUGAGUCUGGGACCACGCAGGUGAGUUUUGGGGUCCCCCAGGUGAGUUUUGGGGUCCCCCAGGUGAGUCUGGGACCACCCAGGUGAGUUUUGGGGUCCCCCAGGUGCCCCCUCAGGUGAGUUUGGGACCCCCCAGGUUGAUUUUGGGGUUCCCCGGGUGAGUUUUGGGGUCCCCCAGGUGAGUUUGGGAUCCCCAGGUGAGUUUUGGGGUCGCCCAGGUGAUUUUGGGACCCCCCCAGGUGAGUUUUUGCCCUCUUGAGAUGAUUUUGGGGUCCCCAGGUGAGUUUAGGGUCACCCCAGGUGCCCCUCAGGUGAGUUUGGGGUGUCCCAGGUGAGUCUUUGUCCCCCCAGGUGAAUUUUGGGGUCCCCCGGGUGCACACGGGACCCCCCCGAACCCCAAAACCACUCCCGGGGUUGGUCAGGGACGAGUUUAAUGCAGCAGCCAGGUACAGCCAGGUGUGCCCAGGUGAGCUCAGCUGUGCCCAGGUGUGCCCAGGUGUGCC
Long non-coding RNA from Motacilla alba alba, 664 nucleotides. RefSeq lists it as uncharacterized. The transcript has 3 exons. The record is from RefSeq and is a predicted model, not a curated record. NCBI's taxonomy places the organism in Eukaryota, Metazoa, Chordata, Aves, Passeriformes, Motacillidae.